RNAcentral lists this ribosomal RNA (457 nucleotides) under uncultured bacterium. Its description in RNAcentral is "partial 16S ribosomal RNA". It matches the Rfam family "Bacterial small subunit ribosomal RNA", at positions 28 to 523 of the family's 1533-position model. The record is from RNAcentral.
GAUGAACGCUGGCGGCGUGCCUAAUACAUGCAAGUCGAGCGGAAAGGCCCUUCGGGGUACUCGAGCGGCGGACGGCUGAGUAACGCGUAGGAACGUACCCCAAAGUGAGGGAUAACUGCUCGAAAGAGUAGCUAAUACCGCAUGUGCUCUUCGGAGUAAAGCUUCGGCGCUUUGGGAACGGCCUGCGUCCUAUUAGCUAGUUGGUGAGGUAAUUGCUCACCAAGGCGACGAUAGGUAGCUGGUCUGAGAGGAUGAUCAGCCAGACUGGGACUGAGACACGGCCCAGACUCCUACGGGAGGCAGCAGUAGGGAAUUUUCCACAAUGGGCGAAAGCCUGAUGGAGCAACGCCGCGUGCAGGAUGAAUGCCUUCGGGUUGUAAACUGCUUUUAUAGGUGAAGAAUAUGACGGUAACCUAUGAAUAAGGAUCGGCUAACUCCGUGCCAGCCGCCGCCGUAA